Molecule: ribosomal RNA, 199 nt
Filed under: uncultured bacterium
Lineage: Bacteria
Description: partial 16S ribosomal RNA
Rfam family: Bacterial small subunit ribosomal RNA
Source: RNAcentral
ACGCUCGACACCUACGGGAGCAGCAGUGGGGAAUAUUGCACAAUGGGGGAAACCCUGAUGCAGCGACGCCGCGUGGAGGAAGAAGGUCUUCGGAUUGUAAACUCCUGUUGUUGGGGAAAAAGAGGAUGGUACCCAACAAGGAAGUGACGGCUAACUACGUGCCAACAGCCGAAACGGUNUCUGAGCGGGCUGGCAAGGC